Molecule: long non-coding RNA, 137 nt
Organism: Frieseomelitta varia
Lineage: Eukaryota; Metazoa; Arthropoda; Insecta; Hymenoptera; Apidae
Exons: 3
Source: RefSeq, a predicted model, not a curated record
UCUUUACGAGAAUUAUAUCUUCUUAAAUAAAAGCAUUUGUUUCUUCUCUAUUAAUGCCAAAGAUCAAUUGGAAAAUCAGUCAGCUUGAAAAUUGAAUUAUUCGAUCGCUGACAUAAAUGCAGAUAAGAUGCUAAUGA